This 292-nucleotide ribosomal RNA is filed under the name uncultured bacterium. RNAcentral's name for it is "partial 16S ribosomal RNA". It matches the Rfam family "Bacterial small subunit ribosomal RNA", at positions 505 to 796 of the family's 1533-position model. The record is from RNAcentral.
GUGUCAGCCGCCGCGGUAAAACGUAGGAGCCAAGCGUUAUCCGAAUUCACUGGGCGUAAAGCGCGUGCAGGCGGUCUGGUAAGUUGGAUGUGAAAUCUCCUGGCUCAACUGGGAGAGGCCGUUCAAUACUGUCAGACUAGAGGGCGACAGAGGGAGGUGGAAUUCCGGGUGUAGUGGUGAAAUGCGUAGAUAUCCGGAGGAACACCAGAGGCGAAGGCGACCUCCUGGGUCGCACCUGACGCUCAGACGCGAAAGCUAGGGGAGCGAACGGGAUUAGAAACCCUCGUAGUCC